GGGCUAAUGGUCUAGUGGUAUGAUUUCUGUUUUGCAAUGCUUCAUUGGAUCUACAGACGGUCCCGCGUUCAAUCCGCGGUUAGUCCA
Non-coding RNA from Neurospora sp. IMI 360204, 87 nucleotides. NCBI's taxonomy places the organism in Eukaryota, Fungi, Ascomycota, Sordariomycetes, Sordariales, Sordariaceae. The record is from the annotation of a GenBank genome assembly.